Molecule: ribosomal RNA, 253 nt
Filed under: uncultured bacterium
Lineage: Bacteria
Description: partial 16S ribosomal RNA
Rfam family: Bacterial small subunit ribosomal RNA
Source: RNAcentral
UACGGGGGGGGCAAGCGUUGUUCGGAAUUACUGGGCGUAAAGGGUUCGUAGGUGGCUUGCUAAGUCAGACGUGAAAUCCCUCAGCUUAACUGGGGAACUGCGUCUGAGACUGGUGAGCUUGAGUGCAGGAGAGGAACGCGGAAUUCCAGGUGUAGCGGUGAAAUGCGUAGAUAUCUGGAGGAACACCGGUGGCGAAGGCGGCCUUCUGGACAGCGACUGACGCUGAGACGCGAAAGCGUGGGGAGCAAACAGG